RNAcentral lists this ribosomal RNA (468 nucleotides) under uncultured bacterium. RNAcentral's name for it is "partial 16S ribosomal RNA". It matches the Rfam family "Bacterial small subunit ribosomal RNA", at positions 28 to 507 of the family's 1533-position model. The record is from RNAcentral.
GACGAACGCUGGCGGCGUGCUUAACACAUGCAAGUCGAACGGAAAGGCCCUGCUUUUGUGGGGUGCUCGAGUGGCGAACGGGUGAGUAACACGUGAGUAACCUGCCCUUGACUUUGGGAUAACUUCAGGAAACUGGGGCUAAUACCGGAUAGGAGCUCCUGCUGCAUGGUGGGGGUUGGAAAGUUUCGGCGGUUGGGGAUGGACUCGCGGCUUAUCAGCUUGUUGGUGGGGUAGUGGCUUACCAAGGCUUUGACGGGUAGCCGGCCUGAGAGGGUGACCGGCCACAGUGGGACUGAGAUACGGCCCAGACUCCUACGGGAGGCAGCAGUGGGGAAUAUUGCACAAUGGGCGGAAGCCUGAUGCAGCAACGCCGCGUGCGGGAUGACGGCCUUCGGGUUGUAAACCGCUUUCGCCUGUGACGAAGCGUGAGUGAAGGUAAUGGGUAAAGAAGCACCGGCUAACUACGUG